UCCGAACCCACGCACGUUGAAAAGUGCGGGGAUGAGGUGUGGGUAGCGGAGAAAUUCCAAUCGAACUUGGAGAUAGCUGGUUCUCUCCGAAAUAGCUUUAGGGCUAGCCUCGAGGUAAAGAGUCAUGGAGGUAGAGCACUGUUUGGACUAGGGGCCCUUCUCGGGUUACCGAAUUCAGAUAAACUCCGAAUGCCAUGUACUUAUACUCGGGAGUCAGACUGCGAGUGAUAAGAUCCGUAGUCGAAAGGGAAACAGCCCAGACC
RNAcentral lists this ribosomal RNA (263 nucleotides) under Salmonella enterica subsp. enterica serovar Typhimurium. RNAcentral's name for it is "partial 23S ribosomal RNA". It matches the Rfam family "Bacterial large subunit ribosomal RNA", at positions 773 to 1033 of the family's 2925-position model. Lineage: Bacteria; Pseudomonadati; Pseudomonadota; Gammaproteobacteria; Enterobacterales; Enterobacteriaceae. The record is from RNAcentral.